AUAUGUCAGUGAUGAGACUGCAGAAUGAAUGCUGGGGAUUGGGACCAAGAAAAUUCUGAAGAACUGAAUCCUCCUCCCUUACUUUUCCAAAU
Peromyscus maniculatus bairdii (prairie deer mouse) is the source of this 92-nucleotide non-coding RNA. The record is from RefSeq and is a predicted model, not a curated record. Lineage: Eukaryota; Metazoa; Chordata; Mammalia; Rodentia; Cricetidae.